CGGGAUGUGGCUCAGUUUGGUAGAGUGCUGCGUUCGGGACGCAGAGGUCGCAGGUUCGAAUCCUGUCAUCCCGA
This 74-nucleotide transfer RNA is filed under the name Oscillospiraceae bacterium. RNAcentral's name for it is "tRNA-Pro". It matches the Rfam family "tRNA". Rfam says of the family: Transfer RNA (tRNA) molecules are approximately 80 nucleotides in length. Their secondary structure includes four short double-helical elements and three loops (D, anti-codon, and T loops). Further hydrogen bonds mediate the characteristic L-shaped molecular structure. tRNAs have two regions of fundamental functional importance: the anti-codon, which is responsible for specific mRNA codon recognition, and the 3' end, to which the tRNAs corresponding amino acid is attached (by aminoacyl-tRNA synthetases). tRNAs cope with the degeneracy of the genetic code in two manners: having more than one tRNA (with a specific anti-codon) for a particular amino acid; and 'wobble' base-pairing, i.e. permitting non-standard base-pairing at the 3rd anti-codon position. Lineage: Bacteria; Bacillati; Bacillota; Clostridia; Eubacteriales; Oscillospiraceae. The record is from RNAcentral.